ACGGGGUGCAGCAGGCGCGAAAACUUUACAAUGCACACAAGUGCGAUAAGGGAACCCCGAGUGUCUCUACCUAGUAGGGACUGUCCAGCUGUCUAAAGAAUAGCUGUUAGCAAGAGCCGGGCAAGACCGGUGCCAGCCGCCGUGGUAAUACCGGCGGCUCGAGUGGUGAUCGCUAUUAUUGGGUCUAAAGCGUCCGUAGCUGGCCGUGAAAGUUCGUCGGGAAAUCCAUCCGCUCAACGGAUGGGCGUCCGGCGAAAACUUCAUGGCUUGGGACCGGAAGGCUCGAGGGGUACGUCCGGGGUAGGAGUGAAAUCCUGUAAUCCUGGACGGACCACCGAUGGCGAAAGCACCUCGAGAAGACGGAUCCGACAGUGAGGGACGAAAGCUAGGGUCUCGAACCGGAUUAGAUACCCGGGUAGUCCUAGCCGUAAACAAUGUUCACUAGGUGUGGCACAGGCUACGAGCCUGUGCUGUGCCGUAGGGAAGCCGAGAAGUGAACCGCCUGGGAAGUACGUCCGCAAGGAUGAAACUUAAAGGAAUUGGCGGGGGAGCAC
Molecule: ribosomal RNA, 554 nt
Filed under: uncultured archaeon
Lineage: Archaea
Description: bacterial SSU rRNA
Rfam family: Archaeal small subunit ribosomal RNA
Source: RNAcentral